ACUUGCUGAUCCUACAUGAAUACGGUAGCAAGUUCAUGUUCUUUGCUUGAUAAUUUAUUCUUUUUUGACCAAUUCAUUUCCGCAAACCCCUUACCUGUAAGCACCAACUAGUAUCCUUAUUGUCAAGAAUUAAUUUUAUCAACGACUUAUAAGUUUGGUAUGCAUAUUUCUUAUGAUGUUGAACCUUGACUUUGAGACACAUGAUGGCUUUGUUUUAUUUUUUUUGUUGAAUUUUCUAUCCUGUAAGUUUCAACUCCACUAGUAUCAUGUUUCCAUAGAUGAUGCUGUCUUAGAUGUUGGAGUCGUGACUCAUUCUUUAUACUGAUGUUUCUGUGUGGAAUUUUCCCAGUUGUCCUGUUCAUUGUUUGAUGUUUCUGUGUGUGUUGUAGCUGAAUUUGGUUGUAGCUUCUGCAAGCUUUCUUCACUUUCUUCCCUCCACUAUCUGUUAACAAGUUUGAUCUUUACAAUUCAGUUAUAAGAACAAACAAUAUGACCAAAGGUUGACAGCUUUGCUUCAUCCUUUUUACAUUUCAGUAUGUGGAUGAAAGCAAAUAUGUACUGAUGUACCUAAAUGGAUUUACAAAAAUAUCUUUGAAAUGUUUUGUCAUACAGAUAUGACAUCUAGUAUAAUUUUUUCCAACUUGAUUGUUGCAUUAUCAUAUAAUGAGAUUAGGUGCACAGCUUGCAGUCAGUUUAUUGUUUUUGCUAAAGAUCAUUGCUAGUAGGCCGACAAAAGACAGGUCUAAAAUGAAGCCUAAGAAAACAUGCUUAAGAUGAUAUUUUAAGAUUUUCUAAACAUUGGAUCGUUGCGGAAGGUUGUGAUUGGCACGGCAAGUGUUCUAAAAUGAAGCCAAAGAAAAUGGGGGAGAAAAUAAGGUUCGGCUUGAGGAAUUUAUGCAAUAAAGCAGUUUUAUAUUUGAUUCCUUCUUUAAUUAUAUUGCGUGUGUUCCUAAGCUGCAACCUAUUAAUAAUUUUAGUUUUAUAAUGUUCUUUGCCACUACCUUUCUAUUAUUCAUUCUUUUGCUUUGCAGGUUGUGACAAAAAUUGAUUGGCAUCGGAAAGGAGACUAUUUCACUACUGUCGUUCCUAGUGAUAUCCUAAUUAUGAAUUUUAGUUGUACUUAUUUUUAGUCAUUCCUAGUGCCUAUUUUAUUCCUAGUCACCUUAUUUCAAUGACAAGAACAAGGGUUCUCAUGGCCAAUAUGUGUCUAUUAAUGGGAUUUUCAAUGUCUUGCUUACCACGCUAAUCCUACUUCUGAUUGGAUUUGCAGCUUCAAGAUAUCAAACUCUACACCUUCUAUAUGGAGCUAGAUUUGCAAAAGCCAUAUCCAACUCGAGGAAGUGACUUAUUGACAUGGGAGAGAACUUAUUGGUAACCAAGGACUUUGUGAAGAUAGCAAAUUUUGGCCUUGCUCGUGAAGUUCAUUCGAAGCCACCAUUCACAGAAUAGGUUUCAACACGCUGUUUACAAAUCUCAAGUACUCCAGAGUUGAAAUUGAUGAAGUGCAGUUCGAGUGGGCUG
Long non-coding RNA from Zingiber officinale, 1521 nucleotides. RefSeq lists it as uncharacterized. The transcript has 3 exons. The record is from RefSeq and is a predicted model, not a curated record. Lineage: Eukaryota; Viridiplantae; Streptophyta; Magnoliopsida; Zingiberales; Zingiberaceae.